CUCAUCUGUGCACUUCACCGUACAAACUCAAUCGGCUACUUCUCACUGCACAUCAUCAAUUGGUGCGGCGCGACUAGGAACGUGAACUUUAAAUUCUCGCAGUUAAUUUCAAGUUCAAGUUACAGGUAACUAAGGUUGGAGACGCGUGGAGGAUCGAAUGGGCGCGUCAAGUAUAUAUAUAUUUUGAAAAAUAUGAUGGCGUAGUUACAUCUAGCCUUUUGCUUGUAUAGUUUCAAAGUCUAAAACUACUUUUGAGAUUUUAAUAUAACUUAUCAGGUUUAAUGUUAUCAUAUUAGCUUUUCCUCCAUGGCUGGCCUUCUUUUAAAGUUAUUUCAAAUAUUUUAUUUAGGAAUUUAUUUCUUUGAAUUUCUUUAUAAUUUAAAUCCUUAUGUUUUUCGCUGUCAAAAGUCAUUUAAAUUCAUUUUAACACUUUAAUUAGAUUAGGGUGUU
Salvia miltiorrhiza (redroot sage) is the source of this 450-nucleotide long non-coding RNA. RefSeq lists it as uncharacterized. The record is from RefSeq and is a predicted model, not a curated record. Lineage: Eukaryota; Viridiplantae; Streptophyta; Magnoliopsida; Lamiales; Lamiaceae. The transcript has 3 exons.